UUAGGACACUUCUUAAAUUAAAAUUUUCAAACGGGUAUCAUGGGGCACAAUGAUGGUAUCACCCGAUAUUCUUCCGUGGGCGGGGUCACGAGAGCAAGAGAUGGCAAAAUUCGUAUAGGACAGGUACGAAAAUCGCUUGGAGUCGGUUACCGUGACAAAUUAAUCUCUAAAUACAAUGACCAAAGUGAUUUUGAUGAACAAGUCUAGUGACCAGAGUGCAAUUUUUUUUUACUCAUAGAAAAGUUAAAAACAAGCUACCCUCAAACUCUGUCGACCUGGAGCUGCCACGUACACCCAUCGAACUCCCAUGAUCAUUCCAAGUUGUCGCCUUGCCUAGGACGACGCAGUAGAAACGGCCCCACAGACUUCGUCCCCAUCCGCACGCAGAAUACCGGAAACACCCCUCGCCGCUGAACGUGCAGCCUCCGCCCUUAUCCUCUUCCUCUGUUUUUUCCCUACUUUACCCCCACCCUUCCCGGGGGCGGCGGCGAGGCCACCCAUCACCGCAUUGCCUACUUCUUCCGCCCCGGCUUCCCCGCUCGUCUCAUCUCGGCUCCGACUCCCACGCCACGCCACGCCAUCGCCCUCGAACCUUCUCUCCGCGGAGCACGCCAGGUCGACUGCUGCUUCAGAGCUGCUCUCUGUGAAUCUGUUUGCUGGCGCAGUGGAGCACUCUGUUCAUUUUUUCCAACCAGGUUGGUUGUUGGUUCAGUUCAAGGUGAUGCCCGCCUCUGGUGCCGCUGCCUCGCAAGCUUUGUGCAGCUGGGCGUGAUUCUUGGUGAUAUUCCAUGGAAGCCGUGCACGGCAUACAGUCCCUGGCUUCAGGAGACGGCCAUCAUCACCUUUCCCGGACGCUUGGGCCGGCGCUGCUCAUCUCCGUCGGGUAUAUUGAUCUUGGCAAGUGGGUGGCGACGGUCGACGCCGGGACUCGGUUCGGGUACGACCUCGUGCUGCUGGUGCUCUUUUUCAACUUCUCCUCGGUUCUGUAUCAGUAUAUGUCCACCUGCAUCGGCAUGGUCACCGACAAGAAUCUCGCUCAGGUUUCCGGCCAGGAGUACAGUCGGUUUAUAUGUGGCGGCCUUGGUCUCCAGGCAGGAUUGUCUUUGCUUACUUCAGAACUAACCAUGAUUUCAGGCAUAGCAGUUGGAUUCAACCUUGUAUUUGAUCACGAUGAUCUCAUCACGGGUAUUAUUUUUGCAUGCGUUGUAAUCAAUCUGCUGCCAUUUCUUUUAUCCUCUCGGGACAAGAGGAUGUCUGGAACGUUAAAUGCCUGCAUAGCGGGCUUUACGAUUCUCUGUUUUGUGCUUGGCUUGUUAAUCAGUCAACCAGAGAUACCUCUCCAUGUGAAUGUGAUGUUCCCCAAGUUGAGUGGUGAAAGUGCUUACUCACUGAUGGCACUUAUGGGUGCAAACGUAAUAUCGCACAAUUUUUAUGUUCAUUCAUCAGUUGUUCAGGUUCAGAGGAGGUCUCAUGUUCUUACCCUCCGUACCCUGUUUCAUGACCACCUUUUUUCUAUAUUAUUCAUUUCUACUGGAGUUUUUCUUGUGAACUAUGUUCUGCUGAGCUCAGCAGCAUCGGAAUCUAGUCACAAUGUGAUCCACUCCUUUCACGAUGCUGUAGAUCUGAUGAACCAGAUAUUUACAAAUCCCAUGGCUCCACUCGUGUUACUAGCGGUUCUUCUCUUUUCGAGCCACAUUAUUUCGUUGACAGCUGUCAUCGCCAGUCAUGCAGUUAUGGAGAAUUUCUUUGGUGCAAACCUGUCUCUUUUUGCACAUCAUGUGCUACUCAAGGUUCUUGCCAUGAUUCCUACUAUGUAUUGUGCAAAAGUAGCAGGCUCUGAAGGGAUAUAUCAGGUACUCAUUCUGUGUCCGGUAAUCCAGGGCAUGACCCUGCCCUCCUCUACCAUUCCUGUUUUCCGUAUCGCCUCAUCAAGGUCAAUAAUGGGCAACUACAGGAUAUCUUUAUAUGUUGAGAUACUAGCCUUCCUUGCGUUUCUUCUUAUGUUGUUUACAAAAUUUUCGCGGCGGAAAUCCUGUUCGGUGACAGCAGCUGGACAAACAACCUGAAAGGGAACACUGAAAGCCCUGUCAUAAUUCACCAUACUGUACUUAUUAUAAUGUCUUGUGCAUCUAUUGCUUUUACACUUUUCCUGGCUGUGACUCCAAUAAAAUCAGCCAGCAGUGAAGCUGAAACUCAGGAGUGGCAUGUGCACUCUCCGAAGGAAGCACUGGACACUACUCAUCACAGAGUAGAUACUUAUCCGGAAUAUAUUGCACACGAAGAAAUUCAAAGGUAUUCUAUUGAUGCUGUUCCAAGGGAUUCAUUGAGAAGUCAUCAGAAAUCAGCUUUGGAGGAGCAUACUGACGGUUCUGAAACCACUGCAGAAUCCGAUAACGGGGCUCAACAUAUGGCGACCAUUCCUGAGGCUGCCCCCGGAAUGUCAAGCAACAUCGAGGAGUCAAAAUCAGUUGUUGGGGCUGACUUUACAGGUUCAACGCCAAAUGUCUCUACUGCCACCGCAGUAGGACAGAGUUCAGCAGAGAAUAACCAAAUGAAGAGCACAGCUGAGAAAGAUGUUCAAGUAGAAGCAGAUGUUUGCACAGACAAGGACAAUGAGACUUCACAUAAUGUGAGCUCCAGUAAUAAGUCCACUGGAGGCAAAGCACCCUCUUUAUCUUCCGGUGAUCCACCACCCCUUGCUAUGAGCAGAUAUAAAGACACUGAUGCUGUUAGUGGCAGUGGUGGCCUCUCAAGGCAGCCUGGUUUGGGCCGUGCUGCAAGGAGACAGUUAGCAGCAAUUCUCGAUGAGUUCUGGGGGCGUUUUUUUGAUUAUCAUGGCAAGCCGACACAAGAAGGUGAUGCUGAAAGGAUCCACCUUUUGCUUGGACUGGACUUGAUAAGAGAAGGUUCAGCUGGGAGAAUGGAUAACCAGAACACUCGAGCUUCCAAGAACCCCUUAAUGAGAGAUGCAGUGCCUGGAUCAGGCAUCUCAUGGGACCCAGUGUCCUGCAAUAGGGAAAUCUCUAAUCCAGACCUGUCUUUUGGGCUUCAGAUGGGUGCCAUCGGGUCAUCAGCCGGGUCACAGAGCAUGCAUUUACCAAAAACAAACACCCCGAGUUCAAGCAGUGCCUUUCUUGACCAAAAUGCAAAAGAAAUCACGAAUUAUGAUGGGGCACCUUACUGUGAUAACCAGUUCUGUCAGCCUGCCACCAUUCAUGGUGGGUAUCAGCUAGCAAACUAUCUAAAAGGGAUAGAUGCAAGUCGGCAUUCACGUUCCAGCAUUCCACUGGACGCACGGCGACUUCCUAUAUCUUCUGAAUCUGAUGGUUCCAACUAUGCUGGCUCUGCUAUUCGUGCUUAUAGCCCGAACGUGCUUGGUUCAUUUGGUUCUACCACUUUGCAGAACCCGACAAUGAGCGGCUUAAGUACAAUGAUGGUAGGAAGAUCCUAUUAUGAUCCUACUACCAUUCUUGGGGGUGAAAGUGGUGGCUCAUCUGCUUACCCAAAGAAGUACCACAGCUCACCCGAUGUAUCUGCUGUAAUUGCUGCAAGCAGGAAUUCAUUGUUGAACAAAGCAAAUAUGGGCAGCGCUGCUGGAAAUCAGCCAUAUCUUAGUAGGCUGGCAUGUGAAAGAUCACAUAAUGUGGGCACAGCGAACAUGUCCCAGAGCUCUGUGCAGUCGAGUAUGAACACCAAACCAGCAUCACUUUGGUCCCGGCAACCAUUCGAACAGCUCUUUGGCGUGCCGAGCGCAGAGUUGAAUAAUAGGAGCCCGGUGAACACCGAGCGGAGAUCAAAUGGCACCAAGGAUGAUUUCUCAUACAAGGAAUCUGAAGCAAAGCUUCUCCAGUCUCUCAGAUUUUGCAUCAUGAAGCUCUUAAAGCUGGAAGGGUCGAGAUGGCUUUUUAGGCAGAAUGGUGGCUGUGAUGAAAAUCUAAUUGACCAAGUUGCCGCAGCUGAGAGAGUUUCACAAGAAACUGCUGAUGGCAUGGACGCUAAUUGCACGCACGGACGGCUCGGUUGUGGUGUUGAAUGUGUUUGGCAGGCUUCCCUGGUUGUUAGCUUUGGUGUCUGGUGUAUCCGUCGGGUGCUAGACCUGUCGCUUGCGGAAAGUAGGCCAGAACUUUGGGGCAAGUAUACUUAUGUUCUCAACCGUCUUCAGGGGAUCCUUGAUCCUGCAUUUUGCAAGCCUCGGAAACCCGUCACCGGGUGCCCAUGCCUCGAGAAAGCACGUCUAGUCGGCAAGCCCAUGUCCAGUAACUUCACCGCCGCAGCUGACAUCUUGCUGUUGAUCAAAGAUGUUGAGCAAGCAGUUUCUGGCCGGAGGGGUCGAAGCGGCACGGUGGCGGGAGAUGUUGCCUUCCCUAAUGACUUGUUCGGUUGACAGGGAUUUAGAAGGGAUUUGGCAGGGAUUGAGGUGGAUAUAAUCCCCUACAAGUUAAAAUCCACCCAAAUCCCCUCCAAUCCUCUUGAGAAGAGGUGUAACCGAACAUGGCCUAAAGGGAAGGAAAACCUUGCUUCUGUGCUCAAGCGAUACAAGCGCAGGCUCUCGAGCAACAAGCCGCCUGCCGGAUCAUAGCUGUCACUCAGCCUGUUACCAAGCCUCUGUAGACUGUAGCUGCUUCUCGUAUAUUGGUUUUUUCUGCUGCACGCCGUACGCCUGGAGGCUUUUCGGUCUUGGUUCGGUAAUGGCAAUCGACUGUAAGUCUGUGACACUGGUUUUGCCCAUAUAAAUGUUCUACAAGGGCAAGGUGCGGUCACUGUAGCUGCUUCCAGCGAGAUGUACAAAAAAGCGUUGGUAUUUUGUUGAAGUGGCGCGCUGUAAAUUUGACUGUUACUCAAAUUCCUCUUGUCGCUAAAUCUUUGUAUUU
Molecule: RNA transcript, 4871 nt
Organism: Triticum aestivum (bread wheat)
Lineage: Eukaryota; Viridiplantae; Streptophyta; Magnoliopsida; Poales; Poaceae
Gene name: protein ETHYLENE-INSENSITIVE 2-like
Exons: 9
Source: RefSeq, a predicted model, not a curated record